This is a long non-coding RNA of Pristis pectinata (smalltooth sawfish), 308 nucleotides long. RefSeq lists it as uncharacterized. Lineage: Eukaryota; Metazoa; Chordata; Chondrichthyes; Rhinopristiformes; Pristidae. The record is from RefSeq and is a predicted model, not a curated record. The transcript has 3 exons.
CAAGACUAGAAAGAUCACAUAGAGAUAUCUUUGCACUCUUGGCACUAGUCAGUAUCACUGCGCUUCUGGCAGCCACGUUAAAGUUGUAUGGCAGUGGUGGACACCUGACCUAAAGAGAACCUCAUGAAUUUAUUCCUAACAAGAGCCUUGUUAGUUGUUGGAACCCUGAAGCUACUUUUAUAUCCUGCUGGACAGAAUAGGAAUUGCAUUAAUAAUUCUCCAGACUCAGAAAAUCUGAGCUAUACGUGUCCAUCUCACCACGGAAGGCCAAUAUCAGGGAAAUGGAAGUGGAGAAGAAACAACGCAAG